This 380-nucleotide ribosomal RNA is filed under the name uncultured bacterium. RNAcentral's name for it is "bacterial SSU rRNA". It matches the Rfam family "Bacterial small subunit ribosomal RNA", at positions 29 to 414 of the family's 1533-position model. The record is from RNAcentral.
AUUGAACGCUGGCGGCAUGCCUUACACAUGCAAGUCGAACGGCAGCACGGGAGCAAUCCUGGUGGCGAGUGGCGAACGGGUGAGUAAUACAUCGGAACGUGCCCAGUAGUGGGGGAUAGCCCGGCGAAAGCCGGAUUAAUACCGCAUACGACCUACGGGUGAAAGCGGGGGAUCGCAAGACCUCGCGCUAUUGGAGCGGCCGAUGGCAGAUUAGCUAGUUGGGGGUAAGCCUACCAAGGCGACGAUCUGUAGCUGGUCUGAGAGGACGACCAGCCACACUGGGACUGAGACACGGCCCAGACUCCUACGGGAGGCAGCAGUGGGGAAUUUUGGACAAUGGGCGCAAGCCUGAUCCAGCCAUGCCGCGUGCGGGAAGAAGG